RNAcentral lists this non-coding RNA (29 nucleotides) under Homo sapiens (human). Lineage: Eukaryota; Metazoa; Chordata; Mammalia; Primates; Hominidae. The record is from RNAcentral.
UCCUACACACCAUGCACUUUGAUGCACAC